UCGAGAAUUUUUCACAAUGGGCGCAAGCCUGAUGGAGCGACGCCGCGUGGGGGAUGAAUGGCUUCGGCCCGUAAACCCCUGUCAUUUGCGAGCAAGGCGCAUUAUUUAAAAGAUGAUGUGUUGAUAGUAGCGAAAGAGGAAGGGACGGCUAACUCUGUGCCAGCAGCCGCGGUAAUACAGAGGUCCCGAGCGUUGUUCGGAUUCACUGGGCGUAAAGGGUGCGUAGGUGGUGAGGCAAGUCGGAUGUGAAAUACUGGAGCUUAACUCCGGAACUGCAUUGGAAACUGCCUUGCUUGAGGUUUGGAGGGGGGACUGGAAUUCUCGGUGUAGCAGUGAAAUGCGUAGAUAUCGAGAGGAACACCAGUGGCGAAGGCGAGUCCCUGGACAACACCUGACACUGAGGCACGAAAGCUAGGGGAGCAAACAGG
Molecule: ribosomal RNA, 428 nt
Filed under: uncultured Verrucomicrobiota bacterium
Lineage: Bacteria; Pseudomonadati; Verrucomicrobiota
Description: bacterial SSU rRNA
Rfam family: Bacterial small subunit ribosomal RNA
Source: RNAcentral